GCGUAUUGGAAGGAGGAUGCACUACCCUCGGCUUUAUGAACCAAACCAAGAUUAUACCAUGCAGAUGAAUUCAUUCUAUCAAGCCGUAGCGCAUUCAUUAGAAAGGAUCUGAUUACUUCAUUUGUAUUGUCACCAAGUCUUCUAAGAACCACAGCUGUAGAUACCAAGCUUGGGACGUGGAUGGGAUCAAUUUCCAGAGCAGUAGUGAAGACUUUUAGUGCUUCUUUAUGGAGGCCCCUUCUUUCAUAAAGCAAACCAGUUGUAAGACAUCUUGAAGCUGAGAAAGAACUGAUGGCCUUGGAUUUGGAAAGACAAAUCUCAGCAUCAUGCCACUGUGAUAGGCUUAUGUAGACAGAAGCCAGAUCAUGCCAAACUUCCAGUUCCAAACUUCUAGUAAGGUUUCCAUUGCCCUCACGUGGCCUCUUCCCAGAACUAAAACUUUUAGA
This 446-nucleotide unclassified non-coding RNA is filed under the name Hevea brasiliensis (rubber tree). Lineage: Eukaryota; Viridiplantae; Streptophyta; Magnoliopsida; Malpighiales; Euphorbiaceae. The record is from RNAcentral.